Molecule: ribosomal RNA, 922 nt
Filed under: Amphidinium carterae
Lineage: Eukaryota; Dinophyceae; Amphidiniales; Amphidiniaceae
Description: partial Bacterial large subunit ribosomal RNA
Rfam family: Bacterial large subunit ribosomal RNA
Source: RNAcentral
GCAAACUAAGAAUACUAAAUGGAUAAUUUACCAGUGAGACUGUGGGGGAUAAGCUCCAUUGUCAAGAGGGAAACAGCCCAGAGCACCAGUUAAGGCCCUUAAAUAAUUACUAAGUGAUAAAGGAGGUGGGAGUGCAUAAACAAUCAGGAGGUUUGCUUAGAAGCAGCAAUCCUUUAAAGAGUGCGUAAUAGCUCACUGAUCGAGUAAACCUGCGCCGAAAAUGAACGGGACUAAGUAAUUUGCCGAAACUGUGCGAUAUAUAAAAAUAUAUCGGUAGGGGAGCGUUCUGUUGUAGGUCGAAGUAUUAGCGUAAGCGGAUAUGGACGAAGCAGAAGUGAGAAUGUCGGCUUGAGUAACGAAAAUAUAGGUGAGAAUCCUAUACCCCGAAAACCCAAGGUUUCCUCCGGAAGGCUCGUCCGCGGAGGGUAAGUCAGGACCUAAGGCGAGGCUGAAAAGCGUAGUCGAUGGACAACGGGUUAAUAUUCCCGUACCAUUUUUUAUUGACAACGAGGGACGGAGAAGGCUAAGCUAGCCGGAUAUUGGUUACCGGUUUAAACGUUCAAGAUGUUGAGAAGCGGCGAAAACGCUUUGAGUUGAGACGUGAGUACGAGACGCUAAGGCGUCGAAGUAGUGUAUGUCAUACUUCCAAGAAAAGCUUGCACUGUCAUAAAUAAAAAAUGCCUGUACCAUAACCGACACAGGUGGGUAGGUAGAGUAUACUAAGGGGCGCGAGAUAACUCUCUCUAAGGAACUCGGCAAAAUAACUCCGUAACUUCGGGAGAAGGAGUGCCUUAUUCGUAAGGCUGCAAUAACAAGAUCCAAGCAACUGUUUAUCAAAAACACAGGUCUCCGCUAAGUCGUAAGACGAUGUAUGGGGGCUGACGCCUGCCCAGUGCCAGAAGGUUAAAGAAGUUGGUUAGCA